Molecule: transfer RNA, 90 nt
Filed under: bacterium
Lineage: Bacteria
Description: tRNA-Ser
Rfam family: tRNA
About the family: Transfer RNA (tRNA) molecules are approximately 80 nucleotides in length.
Source: RNAcentral
GGAGGGUUGGCCGAGUGGACGAAGGCGGCGGUCUUGAAAACCGUUAGGCGGGCAAACCCUGUCUCGGGGGUUCGAAUCCCUCACCCUCCG